This 31-nucleotide ribosomal RNA is filed under the name Agathis borneensis. RNAcentral's name for it is "partial nuclear 18S Ribosomal RNA". The record is from RNAcentral. Lineage: Eukaryota; Viridiplantae; Streptophyta; Pinopsida; Araucariales; Araucariaceae.
UUACCGUAGGUGAACCUGCUGUAGGAUCAUU